RNAcentral lists this transfer RNA (71 nucleotides) under Chalcorana labialis. RNAcentral's name for it is "tRNA-Gln". It matches the Rfam family "tRNA". Rfam says of the family: Transfer RNA (tRNA) molecules are approximately 80 nucleotides in length. Their secondary structure includes four short double-helical elements and three loops (D, anti-codon, and T loops). The record is from RNAcentral. Lineage: Eukaryota; Metazoa; Chordata; Amphibia; Anura; Ranidae.
UAAAGAAUAGUAUAAUGGAAGUACCGAGGGUUUUGAGUCCUUAAAUGUAGGUUCGAGUCCUAUUUCUUUAG